CUGUGUGCAUUUAUGCACUCAUAUGUAUGAGUUGGAGAAGGCUUCAUAGAAGAGAAGAUAUUUUAGCUGUGGAGAGGAGUUAAACUCACAGAACAGUUGGUUAAGGUCCCAGAGGAAUACAAGAGCUGGAAAAGAUAUUACUUUUGGAUGUUGCUGCGAGAGAGCUGAGAGGAAUCUUGGCAUUUGUGCAAGAUGAUUGCCGGAGGGAGGAAUACCAACCAUGAAAUGGUCUUGCCAAUUUUUGUCCCAGAGCCAGCUUUACAGGGCACUGAACUGGGGGCCAUACAAGAAAACCUACAAGAAGUAGAAGAUACAGUUGUUCCUGGCUUCCUGGAGUUUACAUCCAAGAGUAAAGGCAAAAGACUGUGGUACGAAAAGGUUACAAAAUGAUCUAUUUUAACGAGUGCUUCGAGCAAAGGUUUUGUAGUCAGACUCUACGGGAUUUGUAUUCUGUCUCCACCAUUUCCAUCCACCAUUUGUAAAA
Molecule: long non-coding RNA, 484 nt
Organism: Equus quagga
Lineage: Eukaryota; Metazoa; Chordata; Mammalia; Perissodactyla; Equidae
Exons: 3
Source: RefSeq, a predicted model, not a curated record